UACGGAGGGGACUAGCGUUGUUCGGAAUUACUGGGCGUAAAGCGCACGUAGGCGGAUUUGUGAGUCAGGGGUGAAAUCCCGGGGCUCAACCUCGGAACUGCCUUUGAUACUGCAAAUCUCGAGUCCGGAAGAGGUGAGUGGAAUUCCUAGUGUAGAGGUGAAAUUUGUAGAUAUUAGGAAGAACACCAGUGGCGAGGCGGCUCACUGGUCCGGUACUGACGCUGAGGUGCGAAAGCGUGGGGAGCAAACAGG
RNAcentral lists this ribosomal RNA (252 nucleotides) under uncultured bacterium. RNAcentral's name for it is "partial 16S ribosomal RNA". It matches the Rfam family "Bacterial small subunit ribosomal RNA", at positions 524 to 776 of the family's 1533-position model. The record is from RNAcentral.